GUCAGUUCCUUCGAGGCCGCAGGCGUCACCCUUCCGCGCCAGGCCUUCAUCUGUAAGCCGACCCAGGUGUUUCGAUUUUCUCAGGUCCUAGAUAAAGUACAUUCCAUAUCAAGGCCAAAGAGCUGAAGAGGACUCCUUUUGGUUGGGGGUCUGAGACUGCUCUUGCACCUGAGUUUCAUCUCAUCUCUGCUCUGUCACUCUGGGUACCAAGAACCUUGGCCAGAUGCUGGAGGCUGGCCCCCACACUCCAAGCCAGAGAACAGGCGGGGAUUUCUCUGCAGGGGAUCCUGGAUUUAGCCACAAUAUCUAGAUUAGGUAAUGAUGAGAAAAAUGCUGGCCAAAACACUGACGAAAUUUCCAAAAGGUAAAUUUCUGUGUAUUCACGCCUAAUCUUCCACAGUGGUGUAAAUAAUUUUUCUACCAUCCCUCAUCAUUUGCAAAAUUUUUUGUCAAGUCCAAACGUAAUUUAAAAUGAGGUAGGUAGCUCCUCUCCUCAUGCCUUUGUCUUUGUGGUGACAGUUGAGGCCUGUGCCAUGAAAGCACUCGUCUCCUGGGCAGGGGCAGCCCCGAGGGCGGGCACCAGUGGCUGGUAGAGCUUCUCAGUUGGCUAUUUUCUCAAUCUCGUCCAAAUCGUCUGUGUCCAAUCUUUCUAUCUUCUUAUCUGAGGGGAGGGGGGGGGAAGAAAGAUGUGAAGAGAGAUCAAAAUGGGGUUGCCAUGGAGACACAGCUGAAGUCACCCACAAGGAUAGUGUGGUAGGAAAAGGGAAGAUACAAGACCCUGCCCAAGAAUGGGCCGCUCUUUGGGCCACUACAAUGCUCCUUCCUCUUAACCCCAAAGGCUUCCAGAGCCUGAGCAGGGAGCUCUGACCAACAUCCAAAAGCCCAGGCCCUUCAGCCUGGCCACAGGGGAAUCGUCAUUAGAGCCCCUAAGCCCCCAGCGUUAUGUUUGUUCCUUGAGAACACCCAUCCAGCCAAUGGUAGAAGGGAAGGGAGGGAGCAUGUGUAGGAACAAAGGCCUCUCUCAGGGCCACAGGAAAACUUCCCCUUUCCCCACAUCCACCACAAAGGGGGUGCCUGCAGGAGACCCUCUGGGGACUCACUAAAAUGUUCCUGGAUUCUGUUCAGGAUGUUCAUGCUGUGCUUGCUGUCAACCAUGUUCACGGCCAGGCCUCUCUUGCCAAAGCGGCCAGUGCGCCCAAUCCGGUGCAGGUAGGUCUCGUUGUCUGGGUUCCCGUCCUUGUCCACAGGAAGAUCGAAGUUGAUGACGACAGAAACUUGUUCAACAUCGAUGCCUGCACAAAGGAGGGACACAGAGGAGUCAGGGCCAAAGACAUGGUCAGCCAUGCACCCACUCUGGUGGAGGGAGAGUCUGCAGCAGGUCACCUCUGAGCUAUUUGACACCAAGUCAGUCCAAAGUCCUGGGGUGCAGGCACAAGAGAGGACACAUAUUGGCGUACGUACCAGAACCUUGCAGGUACUAAAACCAUGAAACCACAAAGCAAGUCUUUGCUACACACGCAAGAGUGGAGAUGCUCUGGGAAGAGCUGGCUCUGUUUUGAGUGUCUCCUUGUACCUGGGCAUGACUGUUGGCUUCUAUAAAUUCCCAUCACCCGAAGGGAAAUCCCAUCUCUCCUGAAAAGGAUCCCCGCCAACCCCAGAGGGCUCCUAGAGACCAUCCAAGUCUCCUGGAUAUAAGGACUUCUCUCGCUAACAGGGCUGGGUGCCUGAGCCUAGGAUUCCAGGACAGUCUCUGCGUACCACGAGCACACACAUUGGUGGUCACCAGAACCUUCUCUUUGCCCUCUCGGAAGCGCUCAAUCACAGCAGCCCUCUGCUCCACCAUCAUUUCUCCACUCAGCAGAGCCACCUGGUGGCCUUCUUUUGAGAGCUCUGCUGCCAACCAACUAGCUGUUUUGCGGGUCUGGAAGGAAAAAUAAUUGUUUAAACUGAAAUGGCUUACUGCCAUUAAAAACACAGAAGCCCUGAUGAGAGUAAGCAGAAACAGUAUGAUUCUGUUUUCCAUACUUUUAUUGAUGCAGUCUAACAUAAUAGUGGGAUUCAUUGUUAUAUAUUCCUACAUGCCCGUGAUAUAACAAUUUGGUCAGUUGUAUAAUUUUGGGGGGAUGAUUUUUUUGUGUGUACUGGGAAUUGAACCCAGGGCCUCACAACUGGCUAGAAAAGUGCUCUAUCACUGAGCUAUGUCCCCAGCCCUUUAUAAUUUAAAUAAACAAAUAAAUAAAUUUCCCA
Molecule: long non-coding RNA, 2247 nt
Organism: Marmota monax (woodchuck)
Lineage: Eukaryota; Metazoa; Chordata; Mammalia; Rodentia; Sciuridae
Exons: 3
Source: RefSeq, a predicted model, not a curated record